CUUCUUUCAUCUGGAUUUCUGCAUGCAAAACCAACAGAAUCAACAUUGGACGAAGAGCCUACAGGCUUUAAAAUCACAUAGGGAAUCAUCUAUUUUUAGAUUGUUAACGAAUGUAUUUGGUUUUGAAUUUUCAUUUGGACACACCUCGUUAAUUUAUAGUAUAGCAAUGUCAAGGAGCAGAGAGAUGGGGUGGACUGCCCUGUAAUUCAGCAUCUUGCUGGCUUGUUUUUAAGGAUCUAUACAAACAGCCUCUGUGGUGUUAAUCACAGGCCCUGACUAAAUGACGAAGGCUGGGGCCACUGGGAAUGUCUUAUGGUCUCACACAGGAUGGGCCUGGUCCUCAGGACGGUUUGCUCAGAUUUUGGGCAGAAGCUGACCGUUCCAAUGGAAGCCAGCCUCAAAAUCUCCUUUCCUAUGACAUAACUGGAAAGUGCUGCUAACGGCAGCAGGGGAAACAGGGCAGCAGAGCUUGUUCAGGCAGGAGAGCAAGAUUCAGGCAUGACCAAUGACCAGAGGGUCCCUGAGAGUGAAGGAGACCAACAGGCCAGGCUGUGAGAAGGCAGGAGGGCACAGGAGCCAUUCCAGAAGGCUGACUGUGAGCAGGGACUAGAGAGGCUUCAUUGCACUUACUUAUGCGAACACUCUUAGGUCUUGGGAGGGCAACAAUGGGUCUCCUGAGAGGCCUAUGACAGGUUCCUGCUCUCCAGUGACAAGGCGGGGGGCAGAGAGCACACACCCCUUCAGGGCCAGCUGGAGCUGAGUCUGCAUGGCCUCUCCACAGCGGUGCCCUCCUGGAUUUGUCUCUCUGCCAGGAUUCUUUGUGGGGUACAACAUGCCCACACCACACCCCUUCCAAUACUGGAAUUCUUCCGGACAGGCCUACGAGAGCCUGAGGAAUAGGCCCCUGUGCUUUCUGCCAGGCCAGGGGUGCACUGGGACGUGUAACAUCUAGUGACAGCCUUGGGCAGAGGCCUGAGUCCCAAGCUUGGGUCAUGGGAGAUCACAGAACUAGAGCAGUGCAGCUAAGGCCAUUUUGAGGUGACAUCUAUGAGAAACAGCUAAGUCCAAGAGCCAUGAGGGGAGAUUUGAGAAUGUGAUGAAAAUGGUGGUUUUUAGAGAAGGGUUGGGAGGUGUGGGACGCUGGCAUGAGAAUCCUCUGGUGACUACGGCUUAGACCUGAAAUCCCGAGGGGCAAAGAGUGAAAACUCCAUUUAAGGUUGGUGAAAUCUGAGGGCACCAGGUCUUGGAAAGACAGGUGUUGGCCCAUCACCAGGAAAUGUGUGCCAGCCGGAGACCCUGGGCAGGGUGGGACAUGCCCCUUCUCAGUGCCCCCUGCUCCUCCUCUUCAGCUGGGUGCUGGGUGCAGAACAAAGAAAUACUUUGCUCUUGUUCUCUCUUAUAAGUGGGAGCUGAACAAUGUGAACACAUGGACCCAGGGAGGAGAACAACACACACUGGGGCCUGUCGGGGGGCCGGGCAGGGAGAGGGAGAGCAUCAGGAAAAAUAUGGACUUGCUGGGCUUAAUGCCUAGGCGAUGGGUUGAUAGGUGCAGCAAAUCACCAUGGCACACGUUUACGUAUGUAACAAACCUGCACGUCCUGCACAUGUACCCCGGAACGUAAAAGAAAACAAAAAGAAGAAAUGCUUUGCUCUCCAGAAUCCCUCUUUCCCCCAGACUGGACAGAAAGGAAGCCGAAGGAAACAUCUGAGUGGCUGGUGUCUCUCUUUUACAUUCCACCGUGGGAGGCAGGGGACUUUUUUGAAUUAGCAGUUUUCUUGUUCAAAGGGACAGUCUCCAGACGGCAUUGGGAGAAGUCUGUCUGUAACAUUCUGUGUCUUCUCAUGACCACAACUUAUCUGAGGAAUGACACUAUUUCCAGAACAGAUUCUGAUGGAGAUUUUGGACCAAUUUUGAAAAUGCUGUAGGGAUAAACAUUCUCAGAUGUGCUGAACUUGGGAUGAUGUGUGGAUACUUUAAGAGGAGCAAAACCAAACAAAACAAAAUAGCGGCCUUUUACUCAGACAGUGUUCCAGUCAGAGAUGGGCGUGCUGUGUAUGAGGGUGAAGUUCGUGGCGGUGCAGGAUAAAGGAGGAGGAAGACAAACUUUGAGCAUUUGCAGGUUGAUAUGUACUCACGAUCUUAUUUCAUCUUUCCAACAACCAGUGUGGAGUGGAAUAUUUUAUUUUUCAUGAAUUUUUUCCUCCACUUUAUUGAAGUAUAAUUAGUAUAUCAAAAAACUGCACAUAAUAAUGUAUCUAAUUUGGUGAGUUUGGACAAAUGUAUACAACUCAUGUUACUCUCUCCCCAAUGCAGAUAAUAAAUACGUCUAUCACCUCUUCAAAU
Molecule: long non-coding RNA, 2344 nt
Filed under: Homo sapiens (human)
Lineage: Eukaryota; Metazoa; Chordata; Mammalia; Primates; Hominidae
Description: HSALNT0115596
Source: RNAcentral